RNAcentral lists this ribosomal RNA (306 nucleotides) under uncultured Megasphaera sp. RNAcentral's name for it is "bacterial SSU rRNA". It matches the Rfam family "Bacterial small subunit ribosomal RNA", at positions 225 to 523 of the family's 1533-position model. Lineage: Bacteria; Bacillati; Bacillota; Negativicutes; Veillonellales; Veillonellaceae. The record is from RNAcentral.
AGGGGUUUGCGUCUGAUUAGCUGGUUGGAGGGUAACGGCCCAACAAGGCGACGAUCAGUAGCCGGUCUGAGAGGAUGAACGGCCACAUUGGGACUGAGACACGGCCCAGACUCCUACGGGAGGCAGCAGUGGGGAAUCUUCCGCAAUGGACGAAAGUCUGACGGAGCAACGCCGCGUGAGUGAAGAAGGUCUUCGGAUUGUAAAGCUCUGUUAUACGGGACGAAAAAGACGGAUGCCAACAGUAUCCGUCCGUGACGGUACCGUAAGAGAAAGCCACGGCUAACUACGUGCCAGCAGCCGCGGUAU